GACGUAGGGUGCGAGCGUUGUCCGGAGUUAUUGGGCGUAAAGCGCGCGCAGGCGGCUUGGCGCGCCCGACGUGAAAGCCCCCGGCUUAACCGGGGAGGGUCGUCGGGUACGGCCAGGCUUGAGGGCGGGAGAGGGUGGUGGAAUUCCCGGUGUAGUGGUGAAAUGCGUAGAGAUCGGGAGGAACACCUGUGGCGAAGGCGGCCACCUGGGCCGACCCUGACGCUGAGGCGCGAAGGCGUGGGGAGCGAACGGG
RNAcentral lists this ribosomal RNA (253 nucleotides) under uncultured bacterium. RNAcentral describes it as "partial 16S ribosomal RNA". It matches the Rfam family "Bacterial small subunit ribosomal RNA", at positions 524 to 776 of the family's 1533-position model. The record is from RNAcentral.